Gallus gallus (chicken) is the source of this 3440-nucleotide long non-coding RNA. NCBI's taxonomy places the organism in Eukaryota, Metazoa, Chordata, Aves, Galliformes, Phasianidae. The record is from Ensembl.
CACAACUUCAUUGCCUGGUGAAGACACGUGGUAUAGUAUGCUCCUUGUAAUGCAUGACUCAGUUCAAAUUUUUAUGCUGCAUCCCUCAACUCUGGCAUCCAGAUGCUUGUAGGACGUGUCCAGGAACUAUCAACAUCUCUUUAGAUCAGUUGUCUGAAGGUACAUUUCUUCUGCUUAAUGUUGGCUGUGUCUCUCUGGGAAGGGCUGGUUUCCACUUAAGGGUCUCAUCAACUGCUAGAGCUCUUCCCCAAGUGAUCAACAUUGACCAAGAGAUUGACCUAUGUGGUAGGAUGCUGCGUUUAGCAAUGGGGAGUGGGGAAGAAGCCAGGUUUGGGGAACAGGACAGUGUGCAACUUGUCUAGAAGUUCCAGGCAGAACUGAUUCAUUAUCUUUUCUUUCACAGUCAUGUCUGGUGGAAAAAGGCUGGAUUUGGCUGCUUGGAGACUGAUUGCAGUGCUCACAAGGUCCUGAAGAAGCAAAUGCCUGGCAAAGCUCUAUUGAGGAGAAUUAAGGAAGAGCUCUUGGACAAAGUGGGCAGGCCUGUGGAACUUCCUUAGGGAGACCUGGGAAUAAUAAAGACUGGAGUAUGAGUUGGCUGAACCUCUUCUUUGGUGGUUAUUUGGUCAAACUCCCAAACUGGAGCCUCAGACAGCAGCUGAGGCAAUGAUUAACAUAGUGAUGGGUGGGAACAUAUCAAGAGGAUGGAAAGAAGCCACAUUUGCAAGAUCCUCUUGCAUCCUGCCAAGCAAUUGUACUUGCAUAUAUCCUUAGUGCUUUCAUUUUUCUUUAUGCCAUCUUAACAUUUAUUGAAUUUGGGAGACAGAGAUGGCAAAUAGUAACUACUUGCUGAUAGCUCUAUUUUGUGUCUUCAAGGAUUUGGUUGGGUUUUUUGUUUUGUUUUAUGGCUUUUACAGCUUUGUCUCUUCUCUCCCUAAACCUGGAAGAACAGCAAGGCACAAUUCCCCCUGACCCAGGAUGCCUGAAGAACAGUAGCAUGAGCAACCUCAGAAGACUCUGUCUGCAGGGAAGAAAGAAUGAGGAAGGGACCACAGCUAAACAGACAGUGCCUUCAGGAAAGAGAAGCUGCUUGGGAAACAAUCUGCAGUCCUUCUAGGAAGAAAAUUCCCUAGCAUAAAGGGAGGUGGACUGGUGAUGCUGGUGGUGGUGAUGCCAGUGGUGGAGGAAGGAUGUUGGUGAGCUACUGCGAAGGAGAGAGCAUGGGUUUGAAGCAUGUGGAGAGAGAGCAGAGGUUGGUUGGUGUGUGUUGCUGUAAGCCUGUGUGCAUCCUAGAGGUAAGCACGGAUGGUUUCUUGGACCUCUCCAUCUCCAUCCGCCAGCCUGCAGAUCAGAACUGGUCUGGAGGGCUUUUCACUGCUGACACAAAGUGCGUUGGAGGCAAGAUGACGAUGCUGGAGAAGUUAAACCCAUGUCUGUCCCUGUGGACCCACCAUUGUGCGGGCAGCCAGCUGAAGGCACCCUUGACCUAAGCUGAGGGAUUUAACAAAUGGAAGGUGAAUCAUCUGUUUCAUUAAAUCAGAGGCCGCUUCAAGCACUGCAGCCCAAUUAUGCCACAUGUUGCGCAUAGCCUGAAAAGAAUAUUGGUGCAGAAAUAGGAUCCAUAUGGGCAGGUCCUUACUGGGGAGCACAUCCUGCUGAAGAAUGGCCUUGGGUAUCUGCCUGCGUGGAUCAGCUUAACAGGAUUCAGGCCUUAACUCUUAAUUUAUAGUGUUGAGCAACUCUCAAGAAGAGGGAAUGAUCUGUAGGAGGUACAGCAUGAAGUGGACGGAGCAGUGACAUACAUUUCCCCUCCAAGGAGCAAGGCUUGCUGCCUUUGCUUUGGUGUAAGGCUGCAUGCUCCAGGAAUAAGCAAGAAUAUCAAGGUCUGGCCUGGAUUCCUCCCUUGAGGAAGGAGACAGAUGAUAUCAUUGUUGGAGUUGUUUGGACAUCACAAAGGCAGGACAAAAGAACGAGAGCCCAAAUGCAGCCAGCCAGCUGAGAGCACACUGCUGCUCCUGCAAAGCUCUUCAAGGAGAAAUGCUGACACAGCCAUUUCCGGCACUAUUUGCUGCUGCAAGGAAUACUUAAGACAGCAUUCAACACCAUCACCCUCUGUGGAAGGGAGCUUGAAAGCAGUGUCAGGAUGGGCGUUCACAGUUCAAGACACUGAAAAGCACAGAUUUCCAAGAUCUUGGUCUAGGAAGAAAAUUCAACAUCUGGAAAAGCAAAGAUCAAGAAGGAAAAUGAUAUGUUAAGGAACACGAUGGCAGCAACAGCUUCUCAGUAGGAAUGCAAUGGGCACAUUAGCUUUGCUUCCCACACAGGUGAGAUCCAAGGUAAACACGAAGUGAUUGUGUGUGCAGAUUUCCUGGAGUCUUUGAAAUGAGUGCGUUUCAGAGCAGGGUUUCCAGAUGCUGCAAUUAAAUCUUGAAAGGUUCUCUAAAACAUUGAUGAAUCUUUACAAGGGAAUGCAAAUCAGCACAGCUAAGUGGGAAAGUGGAACUUUUUUUUUUUGUGUGCUCUCAGCACUUUGCUGUGCUUGUUUCUAAUACAUAAGAGCAACGUUCAUGCUGAUCGUGUGAUAUUAUUUCACUGUCACUUCUUAAUACCCGAUUAAGCUCAAACAUUUGGCUAUUCUUGACCACACAAACUCAUGCUGCAGUGGAGGGAGUUAUUAAAAUGAAGCCCUCAUUGUGUUACAUAGGACAGUUUAACCACUGCUUCUAGAAAGUUAUCAAAAGGACACGUCUUGCAGUAAGCUUGAAAAUACUCCAAGUACUGAAGGACAAGGAGGCAGCGCUGUGUUCAGUAGACACCUUUCUGGCUCUAUCUUGGAUUUGUUUGCAGACUUAAUGGGAUAAAUUAUGCCCAUCUUCCAUCGUGGAUGAAGAGUUCCUGGUGCAUCCCCGCGUUCUUCACAGUGUGUCGUUUCAUUGCUGUCUUCACACGAGAUCAGGACAAGAAAUGGGAGCAGAGGAUCCCUUUUUAUGGGAUGUGUGACUUUUUCCAUAGUGCACUCCAGCAGAGCUGCUUUGAUCCUGCCUACCAGAAAGAUGACCCGCAGAUCUUAAAAGCUGUUUGCUCAGGUGUGUCCCCUUUUGAUUCCACGAAAUGCUUCAUUUCUCAGUCUUUCUUCUUUAUUUAAGGAGAGAGAUUAUGCAAGUGAAUUUCCACAACGGGUUUUAUUUGGCUCCGAGUACUUUAUUGACUUGAUUGCGGUGCUGCUGAUACUUUUCCUUCAAUGGGGCAGUUGUGACAGGUUGGAGCACCUAAUUCGUGCAUGCAGACUGACCAGAAAAUGAGGAAAAUGCAACAGCUGGAGAAAUCCAGCUCCUUCCAGGCUGAAUGGUUUCCUUCCGCAGAUUCCUCCAAGUCACAGCCCCUUCUUAUGGGGACACGGCUCGAUGAGAAAAUGUGUGCCCUGUGAAAUAAAAGGAUUAGGA